ACAUCGGUGGUUCAGUGGUAGAACUCUCACCUUCCACACAAUAGACCCGGGUUCAAUUCCUGCUCAAUGUA
Molecule: transfer RNA, 71 nt
Filed under: Loxodonta africana (African savanna elephant)
Lineage: Eukaryota; Metazoa; Chordata; Mammalia; Proboscidea; Elephantidae
Rfam family: tRNA
About the family: Transfer RNA (tRNA) molecules are approximately 80 nucleotides in length. Their secondary structure includes four short double-helical elements and three loops (D, anti-codon, and T loops). Further hydrogen bonds mediate the characteristic L-shaped molecular structure. tRNAs have two regions of fundamental functional importance: the anti-codon, which is responsible for specific mRNA codon recognition, and the 3' end, to which the tRNAs corresponding amino acid is attached (by aminoacyl-tRNA synthetases). tRNAs cope with the degeneracy of the genetic code in two manners: having more than one tRNA (with a specific anti-codon) for a particular amino acid; and 'wobble' base-pairing, i.e. permitting non-standard base-pairing at the 3rd anti-codon position.
Source: Rfam by way of RNAcentral